RNAcentral lists this long non-coding RNA (2892 nucleotides) under Marmota monax (woodchuck). The record is from RNAcentral. Lineage: Eukaryota; Metazoa; Chordata; Mammalia; Rodentia; Sciuridae.
GUGGACAGUUCUGGAAGAAUGCAUGGAAAACUGUGGAUGAUGGGCACCACUGGAAAGGCAUGGGGAGCCUGGGAGGUGUGUGCCGGGGAGGGGGGCCGUUUCCUUUUUUGCUCAUUCCUUGCUCUCUGACUGUUGAAUGGUUACAUGUGCACAAAUCUGUUUUACAUCUCUUUCUCCUUCUUUGUCCUCUAUUCCUGGACAUCUGUCCACAGGAGAGACCAGACAACACUCUAGAAAGGUGGUGAGAGAUGACCUGGGGACCCAUGGAGUGAUCUCUUUGCCAGCUCCUCCAGAAGAAUCAAAGCCUUCGGUGGCUCUCAGAUGCAACAGGUGGCUCAGAGACUGAAAAGAGGAGCCUAGGAAGAGAGCCAUGCAGGGGACACCCUAGGGGCCCCUACCUCCAUCCAGUGACCACAGAUUCCCAUGGCGGUGGCACUGGUGGCACUUGGACCUGGCUAAAUGAUUUUUUAUUUAACCGCACAGCGGAAUAUUAUGCAGUUAUUAAGAGUCAAUUAACCAUCCUUCUUUUCUCCACACUCAGUAUUAGAUUGAAACAGCUGAAGAAGCACUUCUGCAGUCAGGGUCCCCAGAGUGGAGCAUGAAGUCAAGCUAAAACACACCAGCGUGAAUAAUUAGCUCUUGGUUGUGACAUUGUGAGUGACUGGCAUUGUUUUUCAAUUAUUUUCCCAUUCUCAAUGCACCAAUACACUAUUCUUAUUGUAAAAAAUAAACAUUUAUAAAAAGCAAUCUCUUACAUCAAGAGCAAUAACAUAAACUUCUGCAUAAGGAGGUUGGAAGGAAGUAAGAAAAAAUGGUGCCUUGGGGUGGGAUCAUAAACUUUUUCCUUCUCACCUUUAUGGUUUCUCAAUAUUCUGCAUUUGAUCUCUUUACUUUUACACUGGGGCAUUUAUGUUUAAGAUGACCUCUUAUUUUUAAUAGGCAGAGGGAAAGAAAGGCCCAUUUGCUAAAAAGUCCAAGUUUCAGGCUCUCCAAAGCCUGGUCAUGUCAAUUGGUGGAUAUUUCAUGGGCCUCUGUAAUGUGGGAGUCAUUUUGCCCUGGGGGUGGGGAUGGGGACAGGAAAUAGAAAUACAAACCCUCUAAUCAAAUAAGUCGCAGCACAGCUGGAGAGAGGAGAUCUGGCAUCGUGUAGGUCGCCAGGUCUGAUCCUAGGAGUUUGUGUGUCAUUCUAACAGCAAUGACCCCAUGCUCAUAUGUCCAGCUUCAAAGCCACUGCCCCUUGGGACUCACCUCCAUCUCUUAACCAGUUGUGUCCAAGCCUUGGUGUAUUUUCAUUUCUUUUCUUUUUGUGCUGGGGAUUGAACUCAGGGUGACUCUACCCCUGAGCUCUCCCCCAGUCAUUUUUACUUUUUAUCUUGAGACAGAGUGUCUUGCUAAGUUGCUGAGGCUGGCCUUGAACUUGAGAUCCUCCUUCCUCAGCCUCCUGAGUGGCUAGGAUUUAUGCUGAGAUUGUCACUGGGCCUGGCUCUUGGUGUGCUUCCUGUGGAUGCCAACUAAGGUCACUGUGAGGAGUAAGGAAGGCUGUGCGCGAAGCCUGGGCCAGUCCCUCCUGGGUGUGAGCCUCAUGGCCAUCGCGAUACCCCAGGUUUGGGUCCAGCUCUCUGCCGUCCUGCUGUCCCAGAUGUGCCAGUGGAGCUCACACUCACCCUACUUCAGAGCCGGAGUUUCUGCCUCGGCCAGAAGCUGCAUUUAUUCUCCUGCCCUGCACACCCAAGUUUGAUCUCAGCCUCACGCUGUGGUCCCGCCAGAGAUCCACGGAGGUGACUCUGCUUCAGAGGACAUGAGAGGACAGACGUUCCCCUUCUUGCAGGGUGUUGCUGCUUCACCUGCUCAGAAGAGUUCCCCCCAAGGCUGUGUGGUGACACAGCAUCACUUGUCCCCACACCUUGGAUGUGACAGAAUUUGCCUUCUAGCCAGAGAUGCUGGCUUGGCUGGCUGGAGGGCAGAAGGUCAUGACCUGAGAGCAAAAGGAGGCACAGGAAGGGCAGGUGCCAGGAAUAGAUCCCCAGGCUUUUGGUGACAGGAGCCAGGGGUGUGAGCCACAGGUCACUAUGCCACUGGGACAGUCCCCGGAGGGCCUUCGCUGACUCGCUGAGUUGGCAAAGGGGAAGAGCCAGGGUCUGGUGUGCUCAGGUCUGGGGCCACGGUGGCGACAUGGGGGUGCAGGCCUGGUACCCUGAGCACCAGGCCUCCUUGUAGGGGGAGGAAGGAUAUUAAACUGAUGUUUAUCAGAUGACUUAUCUGUCCAUUCAGCAAGCCACUCUUUGGGGACAGUUCUCCUGGGUCACUUUCAUUCAGGACUGCUGAAGCUGCUUUGGGGGCUACACAGGUGGGUAAGACUUGGCCCUAAUCUCAAGAACCUUCUGGCCAGAAGGAAAGAGGGGCAAACUAUGCUAAUCCAUAAAUGGAGGGUUCACUUCAUCUCCCUCCACUCCUUAAAACGUGUCAAUGGACUUUGGUUUCUUUCAGGAAAAAUGCAAACCCUUGCCUGGAAUUGAUGGCUUCUCUCCAGCCGCCCCUGCUCACCUGCUGGACACCCUCCUCCUCCUCCUUCUCCUCCUGCCGCAGCUCCACUGCCCCUUCGUCCAGGAGCCCUCAGCUGAUUUCCUGCAGCCAUAGGCCCUUAGCACAUACGGCUCCCUCGUCCCUCGUCCCUCGUCCCCUGGCUCGUGCCUGCUUACUGCUCUAGCUGGGAAUUAUUGUUACAUCCCUGGAAAGGCUUCUCUGUCCACCUGAGCUGACCAAGUCCUUAGCACACACUCUGACAUCUCAUGUGACAUCCUCUGUAGCCCUAUUCCCAGUUAUAAUCAUUUUGCAUUUAUCUACACAAUGACUGUCUUAAUGUCUCUAUUCUCCACUGGACUAAAAACUCCA